GCCUGAGUAGCACAGCAGGUAGUGCGUCUCGCUGUUAACGAGAAGGUCGGAAGUUCGAGUCUUCCCUCAGGCG
This 73-nucleotide transfer RNA is filed under the name archaeon. Its description in RNAcentral is "tRNA-Asn". It matches the Rfam family "tRNA". From Rfam's summary of the family: Transfer RNA (tRNA) molecules are approximately 80 nucleotides in length. Their secondary structure includes four short double-helical elements and three loops (D, anti-codon, and T loops). RNAcentral also lists the same sequence under 2 other names. The record is from RNAcentral.